RNAcentral lists this ribosomal RNA (253 nucleotides) under uncultured bacterium. RNAcentral's name for it is "partial 16S ribosomal RNA". It matches the Rfam family "Bacterial small subunit ribosomal RNA", at positions 524 to 776 of the family's 1533-position model. The record is from RNAcentral.
UACGGGGGGGGCAAGCGUUGUUCGGAAUUACUGGGCGUAAAGGGCUCGUAGGCGGCCAACUAAGUCCGACGUGAAAUCCCCAGGCUUAACCUGGGAACUGCGUCGGAUACUGGAUGGCUUGAAUUCGGGAGAGGGAUGCAGAAUUCCAGGUGUAGCGGUGAAAUGCGUAGAUAUCUGGAGGAAUACCGGUGGCGAAGGCGGUUCUCUGGGCCUUACCUGACGCUGAGGAGCGAAAGCGUGGGGAGCAAACAGG